UGCGUAGGCGGUUUCGCAAGUUUGGUGUGAAAUCUCCCGGCUCAACUGGGAGGGUGCGCCGAAAACUGCGAGGCUGGAGUGUGGGAGAGGUAAGCGGAAUUCCUGGUGUAGCGGUGAAAUGCGUAGAUAUCAGGAGGAACACCGGCGGUGUAGACGGCUUACUGGACCACGACUGACGCUGAGGCACGAAAGCGUGGGGAGCAAACAGGAUUAGAUACCCUGGUAGUCCACGCCCUAAACGAUGCACACUUGGUGUGAGCGAUUCAUUUCGUUCGUGCCGGAGCUAACGCGUUAAGUGUGCCGCCUGGGGAGUACGGUCGCAAGGCUGAA
Molecule: ribosomal RNA, 330 nt
Filed under: uncultured bacterium
Lineage: Bacteria
Description: bacterial SSU rRNA
Rfam family: Bacterial small subunit ribosomal RNA
Source: RNAcentral